This 19-nucleotide small nuclear RNA is filed under the name Arabidopsis thaliana (thale cress). RNAcentral's name for it is "snRNA_13465". Lineage: Eukaryota; Viridiplantae; Streptophyta; Magnoliopsida; Brassicales; Brassicaceae. The record is from RNAcentral.
UUGCUGACUCGGAUUUGAA